Long non-coding RNA from Dalotia coriaria, 890 nucleotides. RefSeq lists it as uncharacterized. The transcript has 2 exons. Lineage: Eukaryota; Metazoa; Arthropoda; Insecta; Coleoptera; Staphylinidae. The record is from RefSeq and is a predicted model, not a curated record.
UAUUAAAAGGCAAUACGUUCUAGCAUGCCGCUCUUGCAAACACUUGUUUUCUGGAAUCAUCAGCGUAUCCUUGAACUAGUUGCACUGUAGACCUGGAGGUAGAUGUGAAAACAGGUCAAUGCUGACACUUUCUCUAAACUUUGUUUUAUCCGUUAUCGUAAACGUAUCUCAAAAACUUGAAUAGAAAAAUAAACAAAAAGAACAAUUUAUAUUCCAUUAUGCAAAUAAAAGAAUAAAUAUUAACGUAUUUCAAAAUGAAGCAGACAAACAUAUAUAAAUUCAAUCAUGUUGUAACAAACAAGUUUAUUUAAAUUUGAUUUCCAAACAUAAUAAGACUCCUUUGUUUUAAAAACAUGUAAAAACAAAAAAAAGUUACUAUAUGCUGAUAACAUUUCAAAUUGUCGCGUAUUUUAGCAUUUGACCUUGUUAACUGAUUAUAAAAAAAGCAAAGCGUAAUUAAAAAUGGAUUACAGAAGUGGAAAUAUGCUGAUAAUUUGCUUAAUUUUCACGGGAAAUAGCCGAAACAAGAUACUCAACGAGCAAUCUACCAACGGCAAAUCCUCCUCGACUAAUAUAGUUAAUCCUGCGCUCGAACGGAUAAAGAACGGAGACGUAAUUGCGUAACGUCUUAACCAUUCACGCACACGCACACACAGCAAGAGUCUUAGAUUAGGACCACACUAUUCAAUUACUCACCAUUGGCGGAGAUCAUCCUCGAGCGUGCAAGAUCGGCCUUGUUUCCCACGACGAUCACACUCUUGUCCUGCGUGUAUCCUUCACGCCACAAAUAAUUCAGUGUGUCUUCCGCAUGGUGAAAGCUCGGUCGAGCCACUAUCGAAUACACAACGACGCACGCAUGUGGUUCGUAGGUGCUGAGCGAAUUUUCUACC